ACGGGUGAGUAACGCGUGGGAAUCUACCCAUCUCUACGGAAUAACUCAGGGAAACUUGUGCUAAUACCGUAUACGCCCUUCGGGGGAAAGAUUUAUCGGAGAUGGAUGAGCCCGCGUUGAAUUAGCUAGUUGGUGGGGUAAUGGCCUACCAAGGCGACGAUCCAUAGCUGGUCUGAGAGGAUGAUCAGCCACACUGGGACUGAGACACGGCCCAGACUCCUACGGGAGGCAGCAGUGGGGAAUAUUGGACAAUGGGCGCAAGCCUGAUCCAGCCAUGCCGCGUGAGUGAUGAAGGCCCUAGGGUUGUAAAGCUCUUUCAACGGUGAAGAUAAUGACGGUAACCGUAGAAGAAGCCCCGGCUAACUUCGUGCCAGCAGCCGCGGUAAUACGGAGGGGGCUAGCGUUGUUCGGAUUUACUGGGCGUAAAGCGCACGUAGGCGGAUAUUUAAGUUAGGGGUGAAAUCCCAGAGCUCAACUCUGGAACUGCCUCUAAUACUGGGUAUCUAGAGUUCGAGAGAGGUGAGUGGAAUUCCGAGUGUAGAGGUGAAAUUCGUAGA
This 557-nucleotide ribosomal RNA is filed under the name uncultured bacterium. RNAcentral describes it as "bacterial SSU rRNA". It matches the Rfam family "Bacterial small subunit ribosomal RNA", at positions 102 to 694 of the family's 1533-position model. The record is from RNAcentral.